CAUUACCGAGUUUUCGAGCUCCGGCUCGACUCUCCCACCCUUUGUGAACGUACCUCUGUUGCUUUGGCGGCUCCGGCCGCCAAAGGACCUUCAAACUCCAGUCAGUAAACGCAGACGUCUGAUAAACAAGUUAAUAAACUAAAACUUUCAACAACGGAUCUCUUGGUUCUGGCAUCGAUGAAGAACGCAGCGAAAUGCGAUAAGUAAUGUGAAUUGCAGAAUUCAGUGAAUCAUCGAAUCUUUGAACGCACAUUGCGCCCCUUGGUAUUCCGGGGGGCAUGCCUGUUCGAGCGUCAUUACAACCCUCAAGCUCUGCUUGGAAUUGGGCACCGUCCUCACUGCGGACGCGCCUCAAAGACCUCGGCGGUGGCUGUUCAGCCCUCAAGCGUAUAGAAUACACCUCGCUUUGGAGCGGUUGGCGUCGCCCGCCGGACGAACCUUCUGAACUUUUCUCAAGGUUGACC
Molecule: ribosomal RNA, 464 nt
Filed under: Lasiodiplodia theobromae
Lineage: Eukaryota; Fungi; Ascomycota; Dothideomycetes; Botryosphaeriales; Botryosphaeriaceae
Description: eukaryotic LSU rRNA
Rfam family: 5.8S ribosomal RNA (bases 143-296)
Source: RNAcentral